This 440-nucleotide ribosomal RNA is filed under the name uncultured bacterium. RNAcentral describes it as "partial 16S ribosomal RNA". It matches the Rfam family "Bacterial small subunit ribosomal RNA", at positions 338 to 795 of the family's 1533-position model. The record is from RNAcentral.
CCUACGGGUGGCAGCAGUAGGGAAUAUUGCUCAAUGGGGGAAACCCUGAAGCAGCAACGCCGCGUGGAGGAUGAAGGUUUUAGGAUUGUAAACUCCUUUUGUUAGAGAAGAUUAUGAGGGUAUCUGACGAAAAAGAACCGGCAAACUCAGUGCCAGCAGCCGCGGUAAUACGGAGGGUGCAAGAGUUAAACGGAGUCACUGGGCGUAAAGAGUGCGUAGGGGGGGUAAGAAGUGAGAUGUGAAAUCCUGUAGCUUAACUACAGACCUGCAUUUGAAACUGUUACUCUUGAGUGUGGGAGAGGUAGGCGGAAUGCUUUGUGUAGGGGUGAAAUGCGUAGAUAUCCAGAGGAAUACUCAUUGCGAAGGCGGCCUGCUGGAACAUUACUGACGCUGAUGCACGAAAGCGUGGGGAGCAAACAGGAUUAGAUACCCUAGUAGUC